AACGAACGCUGGCGGCAGGCCUAACACAUGCAAGUCGAGCGCCCCGCAAGGGGAGCGGCGGACGGGUGAGUGACGCGUGGGAACGUACCCUUUGCUACGGAAUAGCCUCGGGAAACUGGGAGUAAUACCGUAUGUGCCCUUCGGGGGAAAGAUUUAUCGGCAAAGGAUCGGCCCGCGUUGGAUUAGGUAGUUGGUGGGGUAAUGGCCUACCAAGCCGACGAUCCAUAGCUGGUUUGAGAGGAUGAUCAGCCACACUGGGACUGAGACACGGCCCAGACUCCUACGGGAGGCAGCAGUGGGGAAUCUUAGACAAUGGGCGCAAGCCUGAUCUAGCCAUGCCGCGUGAGCGAUGAAGGCCUUAGGGUUGUAAAGCUCUUUCAGUGGGGAAGAUAAUGACUGUACCCACAGAAGAAGCCCCGGCUAACUCCGUG
This 431-nucleotide ribosomal RNA is filed under the name uncultured bacterium. Its description in RNAcentral is "bacterial SSU rRNA". It matches the Rfam family "Bacterial small subunit ribosomal RNA", at positions 29 to 507 of the family's 1533-position model. The record is from RNAcentral.